This 605-nucleotide ribosomal RNA is filed under the name uncultured bacterium. RNAcentral describes it as "bacterial SSU rRNA". It matches the Rfam family "Bacterial small subunit ribosomal RNA", at positions 45 to 657 of the family's 1533-position model. The record is from RNAcentral.
GGUCUUAAUGCAGUCGAGCGAGGCGGGUAGCAAUACCCAGUCGAGCGGCGAACGGGUGAGUAACGCGUGGAUUAUCUACCCUGAGGUGGGGGAUAACCCGGCGAAAGCCGGGCUAAUACCGCAUAACAUCGAAAGAUCAAAGGGGGAGCAAUCUCCCGCCAUUGGAGGAGUCCGCGUCCGAUUAGCUAGUUGGUAGGGUAAUGGCCUACCAAGGCGACGAUCGGUAGCCGGCCUGAGAGGGUGAUCGGCCACACUGGAACUGAGACACGGUCCAGACUCCUACGGGAGGCAGCAGUGGGGAAUUUUGCGCAAUGGGCGAAAGCCUGACGCAGCAACGCCGCGUGGAGGAUGACGGUCCUUGGAUCGUAAACUCCUGUCAGCAGGGAAAAAGGGGACCGGGCUCAUACCCCGGUUCAUUGAUUGUACCUGCAGAGGAAGCCCCGGCUAACUCUGUGCCAGCAGCCGCGGUAAUACAGAGGGGGCAAGCGUUAUUCGGAAUUAUUGGGCGUAAAGGGCGCGUAGGCGGCUUGACAAGUGGAAAGGUGAAAUCCCUCGGCUUAACCGAGGAACUGCCCUCCAAACUGUUUUGCUUGAGCCGGGAGAGG